GAUGUAGGCGGCUUGGCAAGUGUCCCGUGAAAUCCCACGGCUCAACCGUGGAACUGCGGGGCAAACUGUCUGGCUUGAGGUCGGUAGAGGCGCCUGGAACUCUAGGUGGAGCGGUGAAAUGCGUAGAUAUCUAGAGGAACGCCAGUGGCGAAAGCGGGGCGCUGGGCCGAUUCUGACGCUGAGAUCCGAAAGCGUGGGGAGCAAACA
This 207-nucleotide ribosomal RNA is filed under the name uncultured bacterium. RNAcentral describes it as "partial 16S ribosomal RNA". It matches the Rfam family "Bacterial small subunit ribosomal RNA", at positions 568 to 774 of the family's 1533-position model. The record is from RNAcentral.